UUCGUCCUACGGGGCGCAGCAGUAGGGAAUAUUGCUCAAUGGGGGAAACCCUGAAGCAGCAACGCCGCGUGGAGGAUGAAGGUUUUCGGAUUGUAAACUCCUUUUGUUAGAGAAGAUAAUGACGGUAUCUAACGAAUAAGCACCGGCUAACUCCGUGCCAGCAGCCGCGGUAAUACGGAGGGUGCAAGCGUUACUCGGAAUCACUGGGCGUAAAGAGCGCGUAGGCGGGAUAGCAAGUCAAGGGUGAAAUCCCCGCGCUCAAC
This 263-nucleotide ribosomal RNA is filed under the name uncultured bacterium. Its description in RNAcentral is "partial 16S ribosomal RNA". It matches the Rfam family "Bacterial small subunit ribosomal RNA", at positions 333 to 613 of the family's 1533-position model. The record is from RNAcentral.